UAGCUAGUUGGUGAGGUAAAAGCUACACCAAGGCGACGAUCGGUAGCUGGUCUGAGAGGAUGGCCAGCCACACUGGAACUGAGACACGGUCCAGACUCCUACGGGAGGCAGCAGUGGGGAAUAUUGGACAAUGGGGGCAACCCUGAUCCAGCAAUGCCGCGUGUGUGAAGAAGGCCUGAGGGUUGUAAAGCACUUUCAGUGGGGAGGAGGGUAUUUAGGUUAAGAGCUAGGAUACUGGACGUUACCCACAGAAGAAGCACCGGCUAACUCCGUGCCAGCAGCCGCGGUAGUACGGAGGGUGCGAGCGUUAAUCGGAAUAACUGGGCGUAAAGGGUGCGUAGGUGGUUAGAUAAGUUAUCUGUGAAAUCCCCGGGCUCAACCUGGGCAGGUCAGAUAAGACUGUUUGACUCGAGUAUAGGAGGGGGUAGUGGAAUUUCCGGUGUAGCGGUGAAAUGCGUAGAGAUCGGAAGGAACACCAGUGGCGAAGGCGGCUACCUGGCCUGAUACUGACACUGAGGCACGAAAGCGUGGGGAGCAAACAGGAUUAGAUACCCUGGUAGUCCACGCCGUAAACGAUGUCAACUAGCUGUUGGCCUUAUGAAUAAGGUUAGUGGCGC
This 617-nucleotide ribosomal RNA is filed under the name uncultured Legionella sp. RNAcentral describes it as "bacterial SSU rRNA". It matches the Rfam family "Bacterial small subunit ribosomal RNA", at positions 242 to 849 of the family's 1533-position model. The record is from RNAcentral. Lineage: Bacteria; Pseudomonadati; Pseudomonadota; Gammaproteobacteria; Legionellales; Legionellaceae.